This 387-nucleotide ribosomal RNA is filed under the name uncultured bacterium. RNAcentral describes it as "bacterial SSU rRNA". It matches the Rfam family "Bacterial small subunit ribosomal RNA", at positions 29 to 419 of the family's 1533-position model. The record is from RNAcentral.
AUUGAACGCUGGCGGCAUGCCUUACACAUGCAAGUCGAACGGUAACGCGGGGCAACCUGGCGACGAGUGGCGAACGGGUGAGUAAUAUAUCGGAACGUGCCCAAUAGUGGGGGAUAGCCCGGCGAAAGCCGGAUUAAUACCGCAUACGACCUGAGGGUGAAAGCGGGGGAUCGCAAGACCUCGCGCUAUUGGAGCGGCCGAUAUCAGAUUAGGUAGUUGGUGGGGUAAAAGCCUACCAAGCCUACGAUCUGUAGCUGGUCUGAGAGGACGACCAGCCACACUGGGACUGAGACACGGCCCAGACUCCUACGGGAGGCAGCAGUGGGGAAUUUUGGACAAUGGGCGCAAGCCUGAUCCAGCCAUGCCGCGUGCGGGAAGAAGGCCUUC